Molecule: long non-coding RNA, 1986 nt
Organism: Lepidothrix coronata (blue-crowned manakin)
Lineage: Eukaryota; Metazoa; Chordata; Aves; Passeriformes; Pipridae
Exons: 3
Source: RefSeq, a predicted model, not a curated record
ACGAGGGAGGGAUCUGGGUGUUCGGUGGGUCCCCUGUAUCCUCCGAGGCAACGCUGGCACUGUCCUUGCACCUCGGGAGACAACUCGCGCCUUACACCCCGUAGUACCCUGUGCGAAGCUCUCCGUCGCAGUAAAUCGCUGCUGUUCCCUGUCCAGGCGUGAGCUGGGAUGUAGAAAUUCGAAAAUGUAUCUUCGGGCACACUUCUUGUUUUUCCUGUUUCUUUUCACUCAUUUGAGCCUUCAGACCUGGUUUUCCCUUCCUCUUAGGGGAGAAAAGUCUUAAGAUCCAUGCAGAUCAAACAACUUAGGAAAUUAUUUUCAGCUUGCACAUUUGUGUAAGGUUUGAUUCGUGUAUUUCCAUUCCUACCUGGUUUCAGAGUAUGGUAUCUGGGUGGGGUUUUUUUGGCAAUUGUUUUCUGUAUGCUCUAGGCGUUUGUUUUGCACUAGAAGUGCUCAGAAAAUACUCAGAAAAGUUGGUUUUAGUGGGUAGGUAAAUGGUAGCUGUGAUAGCAAAUGCACUGCACUUCCUAUGAAAUACCAAUUUCUGGAAUAAGCAGUGAUGGUGUCUCAAUACUGUGAGCCAUUUAAAGAGAUGUAUUGAUAUGUACAAAUUAUUGAAGAACUUUUAUCACUGUGCAUUGUAUUUCUGUUUCUCUAAUUUACAAGAUAAGCAUCUAGAAGUUAAUUUUUUUUAAGAAACUGUUGCAAUAGUUUAUACAAAUCAGAAGAAAAAAUAAAUUAUUGUGGGAUUUACUCAGCCUAGGGAAGAAACUCAAAACUGCCACAGGGUUGAGACUUAAUUAUAAUGGGUCCAAAGUGGUGGUUGAAAUUUUAGCUUCUGGGUUAUGCAGGUAAAAUAAAAUGGGGCUGUAAACUGUCUAUGAUGACAUCUGUGGUAACAAAGCUGUUAAAGUAAUAGGGCUGACACUACUUGGAUGUUUCCCUCUCUCAAGAAGAUACUGUUACAGACUAGAAAAUCAUUUUCCUACCUACAGUUCACUUUAGAAACAGUUUUGGGGUCAGUCAGCAUUCUUUACCAGUUUCCUGACUGUCAUUUUGGGGACCUGGAAGCACUGGAAUUUAGUCAGCUGCAGGCAGUUUGUGGCCUGAAAGAUGCCCCGAUGUGGGAGAAGGACGAGGAUUGAGGGGGCUGAGGUCCCCUCUCUUGGGUCUCGCUCCCACCUGCUGUGCUGCCUGUGUGAGACUGGCUGUCCCUUGGGCACAGGGACCACCCCCUAUCUCUCCUCAGGAGCCAUUGGCUCCAGCACCUUCCUCAUCCCAUGCCUGGGGUCCCCUCAGCGACACCGUGGCAACAACAUUCUGAGGGGGUCAGGGGUCCUCAGUGACACCCCUUCGACACAGCAUCCCGUGCUGGACAGUGGAUGAGAGGGGCGAAGCAUCCGGACAUGCCACUGGAGAAGGGAAAGAAGGAAAGGGAGGCCCCAUGCUGUUGUCAGGCCUGCUGCUUUAGUGGAGAAGAUUUCAAUCACAGCUUUAACUGUUUUCAGAAGGAUGACUGUGGAUCCCAAAAAGGUUUGCUGACAGGUGAUUUCUCUGACACCUUGGAAGACAAGAAAGGACAUUCCCAGCAUGUUCUGCACACCUACACCUGGGCGCACAAGCUCAGUCCAGACAAAGUUCAUUUAUUCUGAUGGAUGGAGUAUCCACAAAGACUGGGUUUGUAACGAGGCCAGAAAUGUGUGGUGUGACAAUCAGCUGUCCUCCUCCUGGAAGUUUCUCAGUGAGCUGUGCAUGCAUGAACACACAUUUCUUUUUUUCCUCCCACACACAAAAGCUCUGUGUCAAGUUGUUUGAGUGAGUUGUGACACGUAUUAAUGUUGUUGGCUCCUAAUGUUGUUGGGUUCUUUCCACUGGGGGCUGACUACUGCAAUCCCAUUGGAAAAGUUUUCCACCAAACUCAGAAAUAACUUUCAUUAAAACUCUAUCCAGACACCCUCAAGCAUGAGUGUCUUUCUACUCAUGAAU